GGGGAAUUUUGGACAAUGGGGGCAACCCUGAUCCAGCCAUGCCGCGUGAGUGAAGAAGGCCUUCGGGUUGUAAAGCUCUUUCGGCGGGGAAGAAAUGGCAACGGCUAAUAUCCGUUGUUGAUGACGGUACCCGCAUAAGAAGCACCGGCUAACUACGUGCCAGCAGCCGCGGUAAUACGUAGGUGGCGAGCGUUGUCCGGAAUUACUGGGUGUAAAGGGAGCGUAGGCGGGAAAGCAAGUUGAAUGUUAAAUCUAUCGGCUCAACCGGUAGCUGCGUUCAAAACUGUUUUUCUUGAGUGAAGUAGAGGCAGGCGGAAUUCCUAGUGUAGCGGUGAAAUGCGUAGAUAUUAGGAGGAACACCAGUGGCGAAGGCGGCCUGCUGGGCUUUUACUGACGCUGAGGCUCGAAAGUGUGGGGAGCAAACA
Molecule: ribosomal RNA, 425 nt
Filed under: uncultured bacterium
Lineage: Bacteria
Description: bacterial SSU rRNA
Rfam family: Bacterial small subunit ribosomal RNA
Source: RNAcentral